CUCCUCCGAAACACCGCACGAUCUCAGAACAGUGGCCGAGAUCGUCAAGAACGUCUCUCUCGUUGCGUAACGCGGCGGAGCAGACUGCUCCGGAGGAUUUCACGGCGAUCAAGGGAGGAAAGGAGGUUGAGCUUCCAGAGGUAGUGGCUAGAGUGACGGUGGAGAAAGGAGGUUAAGCUUCCAGAGGUAGUGGCUAGAGUGACGGUGGAGAAGCUCCCGUGACCUAUUGUCUCUCUACGAACCCACUCCAUUAAUUGUAGAACUCAAAGCACAAAGAAAUAAAAAGUCUACGAAACAGUUAGUUUCUCUCUG
This 312-nucleotide long non-coding RNA is filed under the name Brassica napus (rape). Its description in RNAcentral is "long non-coding RNA (BNAP_LNC009118)". The record is from RNAcentral. Lineage: Eukaryota; Viridiplantae; Streptophyta; Magnoliopsida; Brassicales; Brassicaceae.